Molecule: ribosomal RNA, 801 nt
Filed under: uncultured bacterium
Lineage: Bacteria
Description: bacterial SSU rRNA
Rfam family: Bacterial small subunit ribosomal RNA
Source: RNAcentral
AGAGUUUGAUCCUGGCUCAGGAUGAACGCUGGCGGCGUGCCUAACACAUGCAAGUCGAACGAAGCACCUUUUAAGAUUCUUCGGAUGAAGGUCUGGUGACUGAGUGGCGGACGGGUGAGUAACGCGUGGGUAACCUGCCCUGUACAGGGGGAUAACAGUUGGAAACGGCUGCUAAUACCGCAUAAGCGCACGAGAGGACAUCCUUUUGUGUGAAAAACUCCGGUGGUACAGGAUGGGCCCGCGUCUGAUUAGCUGGUUGGCAGGGUAACGGCCUACCAAGGCGACGAUCAGUAGCCGGUCUGAGAGGAUGAACGGCCACAUUGGAACUGAGACACGGUCCAAACUCCUACGGGAGGCAGCAGUGGGGAAUAUUGCACAAUGGGGGGAACCCUGAUGCAGCAACGCCGCGUGAGUGAAGAAGUAUUUCGGUAUGUAAAGCUCUAUCAGCAGGGAAGAUAAUGACGGUACCUGACUAAGAAGCUCCGGCUAAAUACGUGCCAGCAGCCGCGGUAAUACGUAUGGAGCAAGCGUUAUCCGGAUUUACUGGGUGUAAAGGGUGCGUAGGUGGCAGUGCAAGUCAGAUGUGAAAGGCCGGGGCCCAACCCCGGAGCUGCAUUUGAAACUGCAUAGCUAGAGUACAGGAGAGGCAGGCGGAAUUCCUAGUGUAGCGGUGAAAUGCGUAGAUAUUAGGAGGAACACCAGUGGCGAAGGCGGCCUGCUGGACUGUUACUGACACUGAGGCACGAAAGCGUGGGGAGCAAACAGGAUUAGAUACCCUGGUAGUCCACGCCGUAAACGAUG